RNAcentral lists this transfer RNA (83 nucleotides) under Lachnospiraceae bacterium. Its description in RNAcentral is "tRNA-Tyr". It matches the Rfam family "tRNA". Rfam says of the family: Transfer RNA (tRNA) molecules are approximately 80 nucleotides in length. The record is from RNAcentral. Lineage: Bacteria; Bacillati; Bacillota; Clostridia; Lachnospirales; Lachnospiraceae.
GGAUGGGUAUGCCUAGCGGCGAGGGCGGCGGACUGUAAAUCCGUUACAAAGAAACAUCGCAAGUUCGAGUCUUGCCCCAUCCA